This 1486-nucleotide ribosomal RNA is filed under the name metagenome. RNAcentral's name for it is "bacterial SSU rRNA". It matches the Rfam family "Bacterial small subunit ribosomal RNA". The record is from RNAcentral.
AGAGUUUGAUCCUGGCUCUGGAUGAACGCUAGCUACAGGCUUAACACAUGCAAGUCGAGGGGCAGCAUGGUCUUAGCUUGCUAAGGCCGAUGGCGACCGGCGCACGGGUGAGUAACACGUAUCCAACCUGCCGUCUACUCUUGGACAGCCUUCUGAAAGGAAGAUUAAUACAAGAUGGCAUCAUGAGUCCGCAUGUUCACAUGAUUAAAGGUAUUCCGGUAGACGAUGGGGAUGCGUUCCAUUAGAUAGUAGGCGGGGUAACGGCCCACCUAGUCUUCGAUGGAUAGGGGUUCUGAGAGGAAGGUCCCCCACAUUGGAACUGAGACACGGUCCAAACUCCUACGGGAGGCAGCAGUGAGGAAUAUUGGUCAAUGGGCGAGAGCCUGAACCAGCCAAGUAGCGUGAAGGAUGACUGCCCUAUGGGUUGUAAACUUCUUUUAUAAAGGAAUAAAGUCGGGUAUGCAUACCCGUUUGCAUGUACUUUAUGAAUAAGGAUCGGCUAACUCCGUGCCAGCAGCCGCGGUAAUACGGAGGAUCCGAGCGUUAUCCGGAUUUAUUGGGUUUAAAGGGAGCGUAGAUGGAUGUUUAAGUCAGUUGUGAAAGUUUGCGGCUCAACCGUAAAAUUGCAGUUGAUACUGGAUAUCUUGAGUGCAGUUGAGGCAGGCGGAAUUCGUGGUGUAGCGGUGAAAUGCUUAGAUAUCACGAAGAACUCCGAUUGCGAAGGCAGCCUGCUAAGCUGCAACUGACAUUGAGGCUCGAAAGUGUGGGUAUCAAACAGGAUUAGAUACCCUGGUAGUCCACACGGUAAACGAUGAAUACUCGCUGUUUGCGAUAUACAGCAAGCGGCCAAGCGAAAGCGUUAAGUAUUCCACCUGGGGAGUACGCCGGCAACGGUGAAACUCAAAGGAAUUGACGGGGGCCCGCACAAGCGGAGGAACAUGUGGUUUAAUUCGAUGAUACGCGAGGAACCUUACCCGGGCUUAAAUUGCAGAUGAAUUACGGUGAAAGCCGUAAGCCGCAAGGCAUCUGUGAAGGUGCUGCAUGGUUGUCGUCAGCUCGUGCCGUGAGGUGUCGGCUUAAGUGCCAUAACGAGCGCAACCCUUGUUGUCAGUUACUAACAGGUUCCGCUGAGGACUCUGACAAGACUGCCAUCGUAAGAUGUGAGGAAGGUGGGGAUGACGUCAAAUCAGCACGGCCCUUACGUCCGGGGCCACACACGUGUUACAAUGGGGGGUACAGAGGGCCGCUACCACGCGAGUGGAUGCCAAUCCCAAAAACCUCUCUCAGUUCGGACUGGAGUCUGCAACCCGACUCCACGAAGCUGGAUUCGCUAGUAAUCGCGCAUCAGCCACGGCGCGGUGAAUACGUUCCCGGGCCUUGUACACACCGCCCGUCAAGCCAUGGGAGCCGGGGGUACCUGAAGUGCGUAACCGCGAGGAGCGCCCUAGGGUAAAACUGGUGACUGGGGCUAAGUCGUAACAAGGUA